This 1225-nucleotide long non-coding RNA is filed under the name Melopsittacus undulatus (budgerigar). Its description in RNAcentral is "lncRNA (ENSMUNG00000019259.1)". Lineage: Eukaryota; Metazoa; Chordata; Aves; Psittaciformes; Psittaculidae. The record is from RNAcentral.
GGCUGGACUGUGUAAAAAGACAAAGGAGAACAACUCAGUCUAAAAUGACAACAAUAUAGAAAGAGAGGGAUUAAAUGAUCAGCUGAGAGUAACACAGCAAGUCAGGAGGAGAAGGAAAUUAAUCUAGAUUUUGUAGUGCCUCAAAACUAAAUUAAUUCAGUCACAGGAUUUUCUAAGUCUGAUCCCUAACUUUACAGUUAAAGAAAACUGUGUGCGAGAGGGACUAUUGAAGCACUCAUCUUGCCCAGCAUGAGACUUGAGGGCACUACAACACAAACCUGAUGAUGGCUACUGGGAUGAACACAUGCUUUUUUAAGGGUCUUGUGCUUUAUUGUUUCUCUGCCUUCAUCGUUUUCCUCCUUUAUGGAAUGAAUGAUCCUAUUCUAAGGAACAAACAUGGGAAGCUCUGGCAUAAUAAGAAGAAUUAAUUUACUGUGAGGGUGGUAAAACACUUGUAUGGGACCAGAAAGCAUGUGGGAUCUUCGUCACUGGAGACAUCCAGAACUUGUCUAGGCAUUACUCUGAACAAACUGCUGAAACUGGGCCACAUGAAGAUGCGCACACUUCUGGGAGACUCCUACCUGUGAUGACCUAUUGCACCACGGCUGCCUUUUGUUGUUAGUGUUUAGGACAGGAUGUUACCAAAAGCAUUUUUUAAAAAUUCAAGCAUUGCCUGGACUGCCCUAAGUAGGUGCUGAAGUCAAGUACCCCAAGAGCACAAGGAGCAACAGAGUUCCCCAGAUCUGACCCCGGUGCUUAGCCUGUUUCCAGUACACCGAUGAAAGAAGUAAUCUGAACUACCUCAAAAAACGUGUUAAUAAGUGAUAUAUUGCACUGGAAGAGGGAAAAAGUCUGUCAGAGGAACGCUUGAUGUUCUCAGGAGACCCGUUUUGGGUAUUUUAAAGCCAAACAAAUUACCAGAUGAAACCAGGAGGGGGCAAUGAGCACACAGAUAUUGUUGAUCUCUAGAAAGACCGAAGCUCCUGAAUGGUGUGUAUUUUCCCUUUUUUAAUCAAGGGGUAAACAUUUAUUUGCCCCAUCAUUGGUUCAAGAUGCAUUUGUGAGAUUAAAUAUCAUUGCAUUGCACACAGUAAGUCUAAGGGUCUCUCAAAAACAAACAGAGGUUUCCACACUGGUCUUGCUAAAAUAAAAAACAAUUCAGAAUUGCUGCCGAGAAUUUCCUCUUGGGCUAAAUGGAAGAAUGUGUUUAACUGGACAAAUUCCC